Molecule: ribosomal RNA, 544 nt
Filed under: uncultured fungus
Lineage: Eukaryota; Fungi
Description: eukaryotic LSU rRNA
Rfam family: 5.8S ribosomal RNA (bases 209-362)
Source: RNAcentral
UAUCGUACAACCGAGGCGCAAGGGCUGUCGCUGACCUUUCUCUUGAAAGGUCGUGCACGCCCAAGUGCUCUCACACACAUCCAUCUCACCCCUAUGUGCACCACCGCGUGGGUCCCCUUUUGGCUUGUUCCAAAGGGGGCUUGCGUUUUCACACAAACUUGAUGCAGUGUAGAAUGUCUUUAUUUUUGCGAUCACACGCAAUCAAUACAACUUUCAACAACGGAUCUCUUGGCUCUCGCAUCGAUGAAGAACGCAGCGAAAUGCGAUACGUAAUGUGAAUUGCAGAAUUCAGUGAAUCAUCGAAUCUUUGAACGCACCUUGCGCCCCUUGGCAUUCCGAGGGGCACACCCGUUUGAGUGUCGUGAAAUUAUCAAAACCCUUUUCUUUUGGUCUUUUGAUCGGGGGAAAAGGGUCUUGGACUUGGAGGCCUUUUGCUGGUUUCAACUUUGAAGCGAGCUCCUCCUAAAUGAAUUAGUGGGGUCUGCUUUGCCGAUCCUCGACGUGAUAAGAUGCUUCUACGUCUUGGGUUUUGGCACUGUCCCUU